Molecule: ribosomal RNA, 517 nt
Filed under: uncultured bacterium
Lineage: Bacteria
Description: bacterial SSU rRNA
Rfam family: Bacterial small subunit ribosomal RNA
Source: RNAcentral
AACGAACGCUGGCGGCGUGCUUAACACAUGCAAGUCGAACGCGUAAAGGGACUUCGGUCCUGAGUAAAGUGGCGCACGGGUGAGUAACGCGUAGAUAACCUGUCUUCAUGUCUGGAAUAAUACGCCGAAAGGGGUACCUAAUACCGGAGUAUUCUUUGCUUUUCAUAAGUUAUGCAAGCAAAGGUGGCCUCUGCAUAGUGCUACUGCAUGAAGAGGGGUCUGCGUACCAUUAGCUAGUAGGUGGGGUAAUGGCCGUACCUAGGCGACGAUGGUUAGCGGGUCUGAGAGGAUGAUCCGCCACACUGGCACUGGAACACGGGCCAGACUCCUACGGGAGGCAGCAGUGAGGAAUAUUGCGCAAUGGGGGAAACCCUGACGCAGCGACGCCGCGUGAGUGAGGAAAGGCCUUCGGGUCGUAAAGCUCUGUCAAGAGGAAAGAAGUGUACAAUGGCUAAUACCUGUUGUAUUUGACGGUACCUCUAAAGGAAGCACCGGCUAACUCCGUGCCAGCAGCAGC